GUUAAUAGCAUUAUCUAUUUGACGUUAGCUGCAGAAGAAGCACCGGCUAACUCCGUGCCAGCAGCCGCGGUAAGUACGGAGGGUGCGAGUACGUUAAGUACGGUAAUUACGUGGGACGUAAAGCGCAUGCGAGGUUGGUUUAGUUAAGUCAGAUGUAGAAACGGCCCGGGGCUACAACCGUACGGUAAUUGCUAUUUAGAAACGUGGACAAACUAGAGUACUGUAGGAGGGGGUAGAAUUUCAGGUGUAGCGGUGAAAUGCGUAGAGAUCUGAAGGAAUACCGGUGGCGAAGGCGGCCCCCUGGACAGAUACUGACACUCAGAUGCGAAAGCGUGGGGAGCAAACAGGAUUAGAUACCCUGGUAG
Molecule: ribosomal RNA, 365 nt
Filed under: uncultured bacterium
Lineage: Bacteria
Description: bacterial SSU rRNA
Rfam family: Bacterial small subunit ribosomal RNA
Source: RNAcentral